Molecule: long non-coding RNA, 820 nt
Organism: Capsicum annuum
Lineage: Eukaryota; Viridiplantae; Streptophyta; Magnoliopsida; Solanales; Solanaceae
Exons: 3
Source: RefSeq, a predicted model, not a curated record
CUACAUCAAUGACGGAAUUUUGUGGGAGGUUUCAUCCCACAAUUUUCUCCUCUUCUUCACAUUUUUUAAUUAAGGUAUUUUCCCCCAAAUUCAUCUUCACUUUUUUCUUAUUAUGUUCAACGAUUUUUAUCAAAAAUCAAAUUAAACAAAAUCUUAUUCCUUUAGCCCACCCAAUUGACUGUUUGGAGUUUUGUGUUAAAGAUGAUGAUGUUGUCGGUGCUUAAGUUAUGGGUAAAGUCAUUAUUUCGGCAAAGAAAAUUGCCCCUGUUGAGGUUAUUUUCCCCUUGUUUUCCGUCAUCUGUGAUUCAGAAUCAGCAUUGAACGAGGAAGAAACUGUUACAUAGCUACACUUGGAAACAAUGUAUCCAUUCUCUUUUGCUCCUUGUUGUUGGCAGAAUACCACAUUUGAGAUAUGUAUUCCUAUUAUGAAAGUAUGGAGCUGAUAAGGCGGAGAACAAUUACUUAAGUGACAAUGACGACCCACCGAGGCCUAAACUAACCAUCAUGCAACCAGUUGUAAGAAAAGACGUUUUUAGUCUUGAAUAGUUGUAGUUAUCUUUGUUAUGUUUAACCUUUAAUUAAUAUUUUGUCUUUUUUUAGAUACAAGUCUAUCUACAAUAAUAUUUCAGUUGUCUUUUGUGGGUUUUUUUGUGUUGAACUAAAGUAGACAUGUUUUGUUUAAAGAUUAUGUUUUAUUAAGAAGUAAUUCAAUUUUUUUCUUUAAAUAAGUGUUCCAAAUGCUGUAGAUAUUUGAUUACUGUGGUUGAUUUUUUUAUCUGAUAUUAAAACUUUUUUUAUUUUAGUAAGUGUUCCAACUGGU